Molecule: small nuclear RNA, 107 nt
Organism: Pipistrellus kuhlii (Kuhl's pipistrelle)
Lineage: Eukaryota; Metazoa; Chordata; Mammalia; Chiroptera; Vespertilionidae
Source: RefSeq, a predicted model, not a curated record
GUGCUUGCUUCGGCAGCACAUAUACUGAAAUUGAAAUGAUACAGAGAAGAUUAACAUGGCCCCCGCGCAAGGUUGACAUGCAAAUUUGUGAAGUGUUCCAUUUUUUU